GCCCCAAUAGCCCAAUGGCAGAGGCAGACGACUUAAAAUCGUCACAGUGUCGGUUCGAGUCCGACUUGGGGCA
RNAcentral lists this transfer RNA (73 nucleotides) under Aquiluna borgnonia. It matches the Rfam family "tRNA". Rfam says of the family: Transfer RNA (tRNA) molecules are approximately 80 nucleotides in length. Their secondary structure includes four short double-helical elements and three loops (D, anti-codon, and T loops). The record is from Rfam by way of RNAcentral. Lineage: Bacteria; Bacillati; Actinomycetota; Actinomycetes; Micrococcales; Microbacteriaceae.